This 73-nucleotide transfer RNA is filed under the name Mediterraneibacter gnavus. RNAcentral describes it as "tRNA-Gln". It matches the Rfam family "tRNA". Rfam says of the family: Transfer RNA (tRNA) molecules are approximately 80 nucleotides in length. Their secondary structure includes four short double-helical elements and three loops (D, anti-codon, and T loops). Lineage: Bacteria; Bacillati; Bacillota; Clostridia; Lachnospirales; Lachnospiraceae. The record is from RNAcentral. RNAcentral also lists the same sequence under 1 other name.
AGCCCGUUCGCCAAGCGGUAAGGCACAGGACUUUGACUCCUGCAUUUCAGUUGUUCGAAUCAACUACGGGCUG